UGCAUGUUCAUUUUCUUCUUCAAGUUUUUUUGAAGCCUUUGGCCAGGAUCUAUGUUCUGCAUAAUUCCAUAAGAUGCUAAAAUUCAUUUGACAAGAGGAAUGGCAACAUCGUCACUAUCCAGGAAGACAUGUGAUUGUUUGAUAGAAUAAAGCCCUCCGCUCCUCAGCAGAAAGAGCUGUUAGAUGACAGCCAGAGCCACAUCCAUGGUCCUGAGGAUCUCUAGAACUUCUGUCUUGCAUAACCGAACCUUUGUACUGGAGGAGCAGCCAGCCUGGAUUUUAUUGACAUCUUCAAGCUCAACAAAAGUUUGCUUGGUCAUAACCUUGAGAAAACCAUGGAGGUGGCAUUUGAAACAUGGGAUUGAUAUGUCUACACCCCUAUAG
RNAcentral lists this long non-coding RNA (384 nucleotides) under Mus spicilegus (steppe mouse). RNAcentral describes it as "lncRNA (ENSMSIG00000020629.1)". Lineage: Eukaryota; Metazoa; Chordata; Mammalia; Rodentia; Muridae. The record is from RNAcentral.